UUUCCGCAGGUGAACCUGCGGAAGGAUCAUUAUUGAAUGAAACACUUCUGGCUUUAUGCUGUUGUGCUGGCCCUUUGGGCAAUGUGCACACGGCUCUGGUCACUUGUUUCUUCUGUUCCACCUGUGCACUGCCUGUAGACACGCUGUGUCUAUGAUAUUUGUUAACACACAACAAUGUUAGUUGGCAUGUUAUAUAUAAUAAUAAAAUAUACAACUUUCAACAACGGAUCUCUUGGCUCUC
RNAcentral lists this unclassified non-coding RNA (241 nucleotides) under plant metagenome. Its description in RNAcentral is "partial contains small subunit ribosomal RNA, internal transcribed spacer 1, and 5.8S ribosomal RNA". The record is from RNAcentral.